RNAcentral lists this ribosomal RNA (810 nucleotides) under Phlyctema vagabunda. Its description in RNAcentral is "partial 28S ribosomal RNA". It matches the Rfam family "Eukaryotic large subunit ribosomal RNA", at positions 137 to 964 of the family's 3401-position model. The record is from RNAcentral. Lineage: Eukaryota; Fungi; Ascomycota; Leotiomycetes; Helotiales; Dermateaceae.
UCCGAGUUGUAAUUUGUAGAAGAUGCUUCGGGUGCGGCUCCGGUCUAAGUUCCUUGGAACAGGACGUCAUAGAGGGUGAGAAUCCCGUAUGUGAUCGGCCGCUUGCGCCCAUGUGAAGCUCUUUCGACGAGUCGAGUUGUUUGGGAAUGCAGCUCCAAAUGGGUGGUAUAUUUCAUCUAAAGCUAAAUAUUGGCCAGAGACCGAUAGCGCACAAGUAGAGUGAUCGAAAGAUGAAAAGCACUUUGGAAAGAGAGUUAAACAGUACGUGAAAUUGUUGAAAGGGAAGCGCUUGCAACCAGACUUGCGUGUUGUUGAUCAUCCGGGGUUCUCCCCGGUGCACUCGACCUCACUCAGGCCAGCAUCGGUUUCGGUGGUUGGAUAAAGGCCUUGGGAAUGUAGCUCCUCUCGGGGAGUGUUAUAGCCCUCGGUGCAAUGCAGCCUACCGGGACCGAGGACCGCGCUUCGGCUAGGAUGCUGGCGUAAUGGUUGUAAGCGACCCGUCUUGAAACACGGACCAAGGAGUCUAACAUCUAUGCGAGUGUUUGGGUGUCAAACCCAUACGCGUAAUGAAAGUGAACGGAGGUGAGAACCCUUAAGGGUGCAUCAUCGACCGAUCCUGAUGUCUUCGGAUGGAUUUGAGUAAGAGCAUAGCUGUUGGGACCCGAAAGAUGGUGAACUAUGCCUGAAUAGGGUGAAGCCAGAGGAAACUCUGGUGGAGGCUCGCAGCGGUUCUGACGUGCAAAUCGAUCGUCAAAUUUGGGUAUAGGGGCGAAAGACUAAUCGAACCAUCUAGUAGCUGGUUCCUGCCGA